GAUGAACGCUAGCGGCAGGCUUAACACAUGCAAGUCGAGGGGUAUUGGUUUUCGGACCAAGAGACCGGCGCACGGGUGCGUAACGCGUAUGCAAUCUACCUUUUGCAGAGGGAUAGCCCAGAGAAAUUUGGAUUAAUACCUCAUAGUAUAGUACCUUGGCAUCAGGGAACUAUUAAAGUCACAAUGGCAAAAGAUGAGCAUGCGUCCCAUUAGCUAGUUGGUAAGGUAACGGCUUACCAAGGCUACGAUGGGUAGGGGUCCUGAGAGGGAGAUCCCCCACACUGGUACUGAGACACGGACCAGACUCCUACGGGAGGCAGCAGUGAGGAAUAUUGGACAAUGGGCGCAAGCCUGAUCCAGCCAUGCCGCGUGCAGGAAGAAGCAUCUAUGGUGUGUAAACUGCUUUUUGUACAGGAAGAAACACUCCCUCGUGAGGGAGCUUGACGGUACUGUAAGAAUAAGGAUCGGCUAACUCCGUGCCAGCAGCCG
RNAcentral lists this ribosomal RNA (489 nucleotides) under uncultured bacterium. RNAcentral describes it as "bacterial SSU rRNA". It matches the Rfam family "Bacterial small subunit ribosomal RNA", at positions 28 to 517 of the family's 1533-position model. The record is from RNAcentral.